This 439-nucleotide ribosomal RNA is filed under the name uncultured bacterium. RNAcentral describes it as "partial 16S ribosomal RNA". It matches the Rfam family "Bacterial small subunit ribosomal RNA", at positions 339 to 795 of the family's 1533-position model. The record is from RNAcentral.
CUACGGGAUGCUGCAGUGAGGAAUAUUGCACAAUGGAGGAAACUCUGAUGCAGCAACGCCGCGUGGAGGAUGACGCAUUUCGGUGUGUAAACUCCUUUUAUAUGUCAAGAAAAUGACGGUAGCAUAUGAAUAAGCUCCGGCUAACUCCGUGCCAGCAGCCGCGGUAAUACGGAGGGAGCAAGCGUUAUUCGGAAUCACUGGGCGUAAAGGACGCGUAGGCGGGAUAGAAAGUCAGGUGUGAAAUCCUAUGGCUCAACCAUAGAACUGCACUUGAAACUUCUAACCUAGAGUAUGGGAGGGGAAGAUGGAAUUUGUGGUGUAGGGGUAAAAUCCGUAGAUAUCACUAGGAAUACCAAAAGCGAAGGCGAUCUUCUGGAACAAUACUGACGCUAAGGCGUGAAAGCGUGGGGAGCAAACAGGAUUAGAUACCCCCGUAGUC